AAACAGUACGUGAAAUUGCUGAAAGGGAAACGCUUGAAGUCAGUCGCGUUGUCCGGAACUCAGCCUUGCUUUUGCUUGGUGCACUUUCCGGAUGACGGGUCAGCAUCGAUUUUGACCGUCGGAAAAGGGCUGGAGUAAUGUGGCACCUCCGGGUGUGUUAUAGACUCUGGUCGCAUACGGCGGUUGGGAUCGAGGAACGCAGCGCGCCGCAAGGCAGGGGUUCGCCCACUUUCGCGCUUAGGAUGCUGGCAUAAUGGCUUUAA
RNAcentral lists this ribosomal RNA (263 nucleotides) under Ganoderma adspersum. Its description in RNAcentral is "partial 25S rRNA". RNAcentral also lists the same sequence under 1 other name. Lineage: Eukaryota; Fungi; Basidiomycota; Agaricomycetes; Polyporales; Polyporaceae. The record is from RNAcentral.